UUUCCUGUUCUGGGAAAUGCAUAGAUUGUACAAUAGGAUCAGUUAUUAGCAGCAGCAGUAAAAGAAAGAAACGGGGCGGAUUUGCCAUUAAGGGGUAGUUAGUCACAGUUUUGUCGAGUUAUGUAAUUGCUCUUGGGAAAUGAUGGUGUUUUGACAAUGUAAUAUUAUUAGUUCAGUAUUUAAUUUGGGAUGGUGUUCAGAACAUGUUGAAAUGGUUUGGGAGUAAUGAAACAGUGUCAUUUUUGUUAUGGCAGGAGUGCUGCAACUGAUCAUCCAAGCUGGCUUGUUUAGAAGUAGAAGAAGAAGAAAGAAAACAAUAUUCUUACAACACGUUUAUUUUUCUAAAAGGAACACUUUAAUUCCGAAAAAUUACUAGAGUUACCUUGACAAGAUGAAUACGACUCGUUAACUUUAGCCAGCAAAAGAAAGGAAAAGGAGAAGAAAAAAGAAAAGCCCUGAACUUGCGGCCACCGAUUCAACAGUUGCAUUCCGCCUGCAUGACAAAGAGGCUUUUAAGCCAAAUUGGAAGAGUCAGACUGGUUUAAAGAAUAAGGGGAAUCACUGCUAGGUUGAGCUGUGAAUUUCAACACGCCUCCCUCGUUCGUUUGUAAAUAAAUAAAAAGAGAGAGAGAGAGAGAGAGAGAGAGAGAGAGAGAGAGGCCUUACAGUCCG
This 672-nucleotide long non-coding RNA is filed under the name Ricinus communis (castor bean). RNAcentral describes it as "long non-coding RNA (RCOM_LNC000139)". The record is from RNAcentral. Lineage: Eukaryota; Viridiplantae; Streptophyta; Magnoliopsida; Malpighiales; Euphorbiaceae.